GGCCUACACUAGCAGACAUUUUUACAACCAUAUUCUUCUCAUCUCUCUUUCUCAGAUUCUUUCUUUGUUAGUGUGUCCAUGAAUCCACUCUUCUUAGCUUCUUUUUCUAGUACUGCUACUACUUCUCCUGCUGCGGUUACUUAGACUGCUAAACCUUCCACUAUUGAUUCUUAAUAAUUCUUCAUGUUUUACUACCUGGGUUAUAAUCUAGAUUUGGGAGAAAUGGGAUAUACACUGGAAAGUCAAAAUCUUUAAAUGCAUUUACAUGUUUCUUGAUUUUUUCUUCUUGUUUGAUUUUUAGGUGGAACUUGAAGAGACUUGUAAACUAGAUUUUUCUUGGCAGAUUCUUUGUUGGAGGGAUUUUGGAUUUCUGAUUUAAUAACUGAAUUUCGAAUCUUUGUUCGUUGGUCCAUUCUGUGUUCUGAGUUUUGGUUGGUGGUGGUUGCUAACAGGAUAAAGAGAGGGGAAAAAAAAAACAGACUUCUGUUUGGAAUUAGAAACUAAGAAUCUGAGGAUUCUUUGAUUCUUUCUUGUGGGUUGUGUGAAUUUCUUAUCUUGUUCUAUGUUGGGGCUUGUUUCUUGCACUUAAAUCUGAAAUUAUUUUGUAGCUCCUGUUGUUGGAUAAGAUAGCAUCUUCUAUCAUACCCACUUCCUCUUUUUGAUUCCACUUGUUUAUAGUGAAUUCGGAGUUUGGUGGACUUUGCUCCUUUUCAUUUCCUUGUGCCUCUUUUGUUCUUCUAAUAACUUUGAAUUCUCUUCACGUUGGGUUUUGCUAGACAGUUUCUGUAGAUUUGAUAGUGGGUCUCUUUCUCUCUUUGCCCUUUUAUAUUUUCUGCCUGGAAUUAGCAGUAAGACCCACUUCACCUCGGUACUGUUUCUUGGUAGCUUGCGUUGGCUACUGUUUUGGAUGAAUUUGCUCCAUGUAUUUGGGUUUGGUUUAAAGGUGGGGCAUCUACUUUGGAUGCUAUGUUGCUGGAUUGUAUCGGUAAUUUCCAUGCACUGGUUCGUUAAUGGUGAAAUUGUGGAGACCAAAACUGGUUUGCUCAGUGAUGGUGGCAAGAUGUGGCUCAGGCUCUGGGAAAAGAUCUCAGGGCUUAGUUGCAAGAUGCACCAUCACUACUACCAGUAUAUUGGGUCUAAAAGAGUAAGAAAAACAUGGUGGAGAAAGCUCUUGCUUGCAUGGGUUAUUGGCUGGAUCAUGGUCUCUUUAUGGAUCUUAUGGUAUAUGAGCUCUCAAGCCACUGAGAAAAGGAAAGAAACCCUUGCAAGCAUGUGUGAUGAGAGAGCCAGGAUGUUACAGGAUCAGUUUAAUGUUAGCAUGAACCAUGUACAGGCCAUGUCCAUUUUGAUCUCAACCUUUCACCAUGGCAAGGACCCUUCUGCUAUUGAUCAGAGGACUUUUGCAAGGUACACAGAAAGAACUGCUUUUGAGAGGCCCCUCACAAGUGGCGUGGCGUAUGCUGUGAGGGUGCUCCAUUCCGAAAGGGAACAAUUUGAGAAACAACAAGGCUGGACUAUUAAGAGGAUGGAUACCCUUGAACAAAAUCCAGUUCAUAAAGAUGACUAUGUCCCAGAAUUAUUGGAGCCAUCCCCAAUUCAAGAAGAAUAUGCCCCUGUCAUCUUUGCUCAGGAUACCAUUUCACAUGUGGUUUCUCUUGAUAUGCUGUCUGGAAAAGAAGACAGGGAAAACGUGUUGCGUGCUAGAGAAUCGGGAACUGGGGUUCUAACUGCUCCUUUUAGGUUACUCAAAACCAACCGCCUUGGAGUUAUUUUGACAUUUGCUGUCUACAAGAGAGAUCUUCCCUCCAAUGCAACUCCUAAUGAGAGGAUUCAAGCGACUGAUGGGUAUCUUGGAGGAGUCUUUGAUAUUGAAUCACUAGUGGAAAAGCUACUUCACCAGCUUGCAAGCAAACAAACUAUCCUAGUGGAUGUGUAUGACACUACCAACCAGUCUUACCCCAUUAGCAUGUAUGGUUCAAAUAUAUCAGAAGAUGAGUUGAAACUUGUUAGCACCCUUAAUUUUGGAGAUCCCCAUAGAAAGCAUGAGAUGCAUUGCAGGUUCAAGCAAAAGCCACCUUGGCCAUGGUUAGCUACAACAACUUCAGUUGGUGUCCUUGUGAUUGCGCUGCUAAUCGGACAUAUUUUCCAUGCAACUGUCAAUCGAAUUGCCAAAGUUGAAGAUGAUUACCAUGAGAUGAUGGAGCUUAAGAGACGAGCUGAGGUAGCUGAUGUUGCAAAAUCUCAGUUUCUUGCCACGGUUUCGCAUGAGAUCAGAACCCCAAUGAAUGGUGUUCUAGGAAUGUUGCACAUGCUUAUGGACACAGAUCUAGAUGUGACUCAACAAGAUUACGUCAGAACUGCGCAAGCCAGUGGAAAAGCUUUAGUUUCACUAAUUAAUGAGGUUUUAGAUCAAGCAAAAAUUGAAUCUGGCAAGCUAGAGCUUGAGGAUGUGCAAUUUAAUCUGCGGGCAAUUUUGGAUGAUGUACUGUCACUCUUUUCUGACAAGUCUCAAGGGAAAGGAGUAGAGUUGGCAGUUUACAUCUCUGAUAAUGUCCCUGAAACGCUAAUCGGUGAUCCAGGGAGGUUUCGGCAAAUCAUCAUCAAUCUCAUGGGAAAUUCAAUAAAAUUCACACAUCAAGGGCAUAUCUUUGUCACUGUCCAUCUUGUGGAAGAGGUGAUUGAUUCCAUAGACGUGGAGACAGAAUCAUCAUCAAGAAACACAUUGAGUGGUUUCCCUGUUGCAGACAGACGCCGUAGUUGGACAGGAUUUAGGACUUUCAGUCAAGAGGGAUCUAUUCAUACUCUUUUGCCUUCCUCUCCUGACCUUAUCAAUCUAAUUGUUUCAGUUGAGGAUACAGGAGAAGGGAUCCCUCUUGAAGCCCAAUCUCGAAUUUUUACUCCUUUUAUGCAGGUUGGUCCAUCCACUUCCCGAAAAUAUGGAGGCACAGGAAUUGGCUUAAGUAUAAGCAAGUGUUUGGUUGGCCUUAUGAAUGGGGAAAUUGGGUUUGAAAGCAUUCCCAAGAUUGGAACCACUUUUACAUUUACUGCUGUUUUUGCCAAUGGUUCCUCAAAUUCAAGUCAGUACAAGAGCCACACAAUCAGCAACCAGUCUAACACAGUCCCUUCCGAAUUUCGGGGCAUGACAGCAUUAGUUGUGGAUCCCAGGCCUGUUAGGGCCAAGGUUUCAAGAUAUCAUGUCCAGCGGCUUGGAAUUCAUAUUGAAGUGGUUUCUGAUUUGAGUCAAGCUUCAUCAAGCAUAAGCAGUGGGAAUUCAGUAUUUAACAUGGUCCUUAUCGAACAAGAAGUAUGGGAUAGGGAUUCAAGCAUUUCAACUCUCUUUGUCAAUAAUAUAAGGAAAAUUAAUUAUGGUACUUCUCCAAAACUGUUCCUUCUGGCUAAUUCUGUUAGCUCUUCCAGAACAAACACUGCAACUUCAGGUGUUGAUACUCCAGUUGUCAUCAUGAAGCCCCUAAGAGCAAGUAUGCUGGCUGCAUCUUUACAACGGGCAAUGGGUGUUGGAAACAAAGGGAUUCCACGCAAUGGGGAGCUCUGCAACCUUCUUCUUGGAAGAAAAAUUCUUAUUGUGGACGACAAUAGUGUGAACCUCAAAGUGGCUGCUGGGGCUUUGAAAAAGUAUGGAGCUGAAGUGGUCUGUGCAGAGAGUGGGGAAAAGGCAAUUAAAUUGCUUACCCCUCCUCACGAUUUUGAUGCUUGUUUCAUGGAUAUCCAGAUGCCUGAAAUGGAUGGAUUUGAAGCUACCAGGAAAAUUCGGGAUAAAGAAAACAAUUUCAACAAUUCUAUUCAAAAUGGAGAUGCUUCAGUUGGAGCCUAUGAAAAUCUUCCAAAUUGGCAUGUUCCCAUUUUAGCAAUGACUGCAGAUGUAAUCCAAGCUACACAUGAGGAAUGCCUAAAGUGCGGAAUGGAUGGGUAUGUUUCCAAACCAUUUGAAGCCGAACUACUAUAUCGGGAGGUUUCACGCUUUUCCAAUCUAGUCCCAAUGUGAUAUUAUAGAAGACAGGCAGGCUAAUAUUGAAAGUGUGCUCAUGACUUGAGCUCAAGCAGCUGUUCUCUGGGAUGCUUUUGAGAUAGCUGAAUGGGUGAAAAGCUUCUCCCAAGAGAAAACAUAUGUUUUGUUGCAGAGAGUGUAUAUAGAAGCCAUGAUUGAUUGGGCUUGAGUUUCAUUUAUUGUUUUGCGAGCCACAGUGAAGCUGGUUCAUUUUUCCUUGUAAAGUUGUUCUCAGUUGGUUAGUGUUAUUAUGUGAGACUUGUGCAGAGAAAAAGCUGUUAGGGUAGGACUCCGAAAUUCGAUACUUCUGAAUUGAUGGGAAAGAAAAUCAAGUUAUCUGAUUGUAUCAUAGAAGCUACAAAAAUGGCAGCCUCUUAUCCUUGUGGUAAUAAAAUUCUUGCUGAUGAUCCAACGAUCUCUCUUUCUGGAGGAUUAUCUAUUUGUAUCAUAGAGAUAGAUUCAGAUGAAAGAAUGAAAGAUUCUCCAAGUCAAGAAAGGAUAGGUUAGUGUAUAUUAUCUCAUCAAUAAAAUGCUGAUGUGCAGUUGUACUGUCUCCUUUCUUCUUGUUUUUGCUUCUAACAUACAGAAAAAUUUGUUGUUCCAGGAAUCCAUGUAACUUAUAUAGUGACAGACUGUGUAUCAAAUUUGAUUUAUCUCAUGAUUCUUGUCUGAUUGUAACAUUUUGACUCCAUAUGUUUUUUUGUACUUUUUCUUUUGGAAUAAUUGCUAUUUAGCCCUCA
Non-coding RNA from Jatropha curcas, 4746 nucleotides. The record is from RefSeq and is a predicted model, not a curated record. NCBI's taxonomy places the organism in Eukaryota, Viridiplantae, Streptophyta, Magnoliopsida, Malpighiales, Euphorbiaceae.